GUACAUAAACGCCAACGUGUACAUAGAGAUUUUCAUUGAAAAGGUGUACUCCGGAAUUAUUCCGCUUUUGACUCCAUUUUAUAUUUUUAUUUGAGCUCUCUACGUUUGAGGUAGCAAAGGUAUACACAUGAAUACAAAAACGAAAAAAAGUUUCUUUUUUUCUCUCUUUUGAAAUGGUAAUAUACGCUGUUAAAAUAUAUAAACAUGCAGAUAUGUAGUACCUAUUGCAAGAUUGCAAUAUUUUUAAAAAUUGUUACAUAAAAAAGUAAGCAAAUUCAGUUCUAGAAUUAAUAGAUUAAAUUAAACUACAGGGACUUCGGCUUGUCAACUAAAAUCACCACGGACCUGCUAGAGCACUAGAUUUUUCAUUACAGAAGAAGUUUAAGAACUGAAUCGUUUCUCUAUAGAGAAACAGGGUAUAGAUGAGUGAUCUAGUGUUUGAGUUCACUGAGGAUGUGGCUGUCAUCCUAACAAACAAAGGUUUACAUAGUAUUUAUCAGGCAACAUUCAGACAGUCAGAUAUUCUACAUUUCGGAUACGGAAUAAAGAAAUUGCUGUUGAGGAAGAGAGAAGUUUCUGUGACGAGAUUGAUACACAUAGAGCAUUUGAGUGUAAUGAAGUUGUGAGUAGUAUUUUAACCAAAAGAACAUCUACCCUAACAACAGUGAAGAUUAAAGGGAUCAGUUGCUGUAUGGUGAUAUUGAAAGAAAUCCAGGACCUACAAUGGUUUAUGAAGACUUCUUAGAGCUUGCCAUAUAAGUGUCAACAAUUUUAAAGAACAGAGAAGACUAUUAUUGCACUUAGUUUUGAGUUUUUGUUUUAUAUUUUAUCACUAUGAUAGACUAAUGUUAAAUUCAGGAAUUGUAUUUUUCUGAUAUAUCUGUUUUGU
Long non-coding RNA from Mytilus trossulus (common blue mussel), 889 nucleotides. RefSeq lists it as uncharacterized. The transcript has 6 exons. Lineage: Eukaryota; Metazoa; Mollusca; Bivalvia; Mytilida; Mytilidae. The record is from RefSeq and is a predicted model, not a curated record.